AUGCAGUCGAGGGGUAGGGGGUGCUUGCACCCCUGAGACCGGCGCACGGGUGCGGAACGCGUAUGGAACCUGCCCCUGUCAGGGGAAUAGCCCAGGGAAACUUGGAUUAAUGCCCCAUGGUAUCAUUACAUCGCAUGAUGUUGUGAUUAAAGAUUUAUCGGACAGGGAUGGCCAUGCGUACCAUUAGCUUGAUGGUGGGGUAACGGCCCACCAUGGCAACGAUGGUUAGGGGCCCUGAGAGGGGGAUCCCCCACACUGGUACUGAGACACGGACCAGACUCCUACGGGAGGCAGCAGUGAGGAAUAUUGGACAAUGGUCGGAAGACUGAUCCAGCCAUGCCGCGUGCAGGAUGACGGCCCUAUGGGUUGUAAACUGCUUUUAUACGGGAAGAAACCCACCUACGUGUAGGUGGCUGACGGUACCGUAAGAAUAAGGACCGGCUAACUCCGUGCCAGCAGCCGCGGUAAUACGGAGGGUCCGAGCGUUAUCCGGAAUCAUUGGGUUUAAAGGGUCCGUAGGCGGGCCUGUAAGUCAGGGGUGAAAGUUUGUGGCUCAACCAUAAAAUUGCCUUUGAUACUGCAGGUCUUGAGUCAUGGUGGGGUUGCCGGAACAUGUGGUGUAGCGGUGAAAUGCAUAGAUAUCACAUAGAACACCGAUCGCGAAGGCAGGU
This 671-nucleotide ribosomal RNA is filed under the name Allomuricauda sp. Its description in RNAcentral is "bacterial SSU rRNA". It matches the Rfam family "Bacterial small subunit ribosomal RNA", at positions 55 to 726 of the family's 1533-position model. The record is from RNAcentral. Lineage: Bacteria; Pseudomonadati; Bacteroidota; Flavobacteriia; Flavobacteriales; Flavobacteriaceae.